RNAcentral lists this ribosomal RNA (468 nucleotides) under uncultured bacterium. RNAcentral describes it as "bacterial SSU rRNA". It matches the Rfam family "Bacterial small subunit ribosomal RNA", at positions 337 to 796 of the family's 1533-position model. The record is from RNAcentral.
UCCUACGGGGGGCAGCAGUGGGGAAUAUUGCGCAAUGGGCGAAAGCCUGACGCAGCAACGCCGCGUGGGGGAUGAAGGUUCUCGGAUUGUAAACCCCUUUCGACCGGAACGAAUCCCCUCCUGGUAAACAAUCAGGAGGGUCGACGGUACCGGGAGAAGAAGCCACGGCUAACUCUGUGCCAGCAGCCGCGGUAAGACAGAGGUGGCGAGCGUUGUUCGGAUUUAUUGGGCGUAAAGCGAACGCAGGUGGUUUGGUAAGUCAGAGGUGAAAUUCCGCAGCUUAACUGCGGCACUGCCUUUGAUACUGCCUUUCUAGAGUACAUGAGGGGGAAGCGGAAUUCCGAGUGUAGAGGUGAAAUUCGUAGAUAUUCGGAGGAACACCGGUGGCGAAGGCGGCUUCCUGGCAUGUAACUGACACUCAUGUUCGAAAGCGUGGGGAGCAAACAGGAUUAGAUACCCCAGUAGUCG